RNAcentral lists this transfer RNA (74 nucleotides) under spirochete symbiont of Stewartia floridana. It matches the Rfam family "tRNA". Rfam says of the family: Transfer RNA (tRNA) molecules are approximately 80 nucleotides in length. The record is from Rfam by way of RNAcentral. Lineage: Bacteria; Pseudomonadati; Spirochaetota; Spirochaetia; Spirochaetales.
GGUCGCUUAGCUCAGCCGGAUAGAGCGUUGCCCUCCGGAGGCAAAGGUCAGAGGUUCGAAUCCUCUAGCGAUCA